GUCAGUGUGGUGUAGUGGUUUGAAUGAUGGACUAUGGCUCAGGAGACCAGGGUUCAAAUCCCUGCUCAAGCA
This 72-nucleotide transfer RNA is filed under the name Phrynosoma platyrhinos (Desert horned lizard). RNAcentral describes it as "tRNA-OTHER". Lineage: Eukaryota; Metazoa; Chordata; Lepidosauria; Squamata; Phrynosomatidae. The record is from RNAcentral.